CGGCCGCGCGGGCGAGGAAGGCGCACGCCGCGCUGUAGCCGCCGCGCGCCUGGGCGCGGGCGGCCGCCUGUUCGAGUUCGGCCGCGGUCGUC
This 92-nucleotide transfer RNA is filed under the name Kitasatospora indigofera. Its description in RNAcentral is "tRNA-Tyr". The record is from RNAcentral. Lineage: Bacteria; Bacillati; Actinomycetota; Actinomycetes; Kitasatosporales; Streptomycetaceae.